UCUAUGCACAAGCCGAUUAAUGGUGAAGCCGCGAAUGGCUCAUUACAACAGCCACUGUUUACUUGAUCUUGACUAUCCUACUUGGAUAACUGUGGUAAUUCUAGAGCUAAUACACGCAAUAAAGCUCCGACCUUACGGGACGAGCGCAUUUAUUAGACCAAAACCAAUCGGGCUUCGGCCUGAAACGUUGGUGACUCUGAAUAACUGAGCUGAUCGCAUGGUCUUUGUACCGGCGACGCAUCUUUCAAGUGUCUGCCUUAUCAACUUUCGAUGGUAGUUUAUGUGCCUACCAUGGUUGUUACGGGUAACGGAGAAUAAGGGUUCGACUCCGGAGAGGGAGCCUGAGAAACGGCUACCACAUCCAAGGAAGGCAGCAGGCGCGCAAAUUACCCACUCUCGGCACGAGGAGGUAGUGACGAAAAAUAACGAGGCGGUUCUCUAUGAGGCCCGCUAUCGGAAUGGGUACAAUUUAAA
This 474-nucleotide ribosomal RNA is filed under the name unidentified nematode Sourhope farm. RNAcentral's name for it is "SSU rRNA". It matches the Rfam family "Eukaryotic small subunit ribosomal RNA", at positions 58 to 529 of the family's 1831-position model. Lineage: Eukaryota; Metazoa; Nematoda. The record is from RNAcentral.